GAUGAACGCUAGCUACAGGCUUAACACAUGCAAGUCGUGGGGCAGCAUGAAGGAAGCUUGCUUCCUUUGAUGGCGACCGGCGCACGGGUGAGUAACGCGUAUCCAACCUUCCCCUUACUAGAGGAUAGCCCGGCGAAAGUCGGAUUAAUACUCUAUGUUCUCCUUUUGCAGGCAUCUAACGAGGAGCAAAGAUUCAUCGGUAAGGGGAUGGGGGAUGCGUCUGAUUAGGUUGUUGGCGGGGUAACGGCCCACCAAGCCUUCGAUCAGUAGGGGUUCUGAGAGGAAGGUCCCCCCACAUUGGAACUGAGACACGGUCCAAACUCC
Molecule: ribosomal RNA, 324 nt
Filed under: uncultured Prevotella sp.
Lineage: Bacteria; Pseudomonadati; Bacteroidota; Bacteroidia; Bacteroidales; Prevotellaceae
Description: bacterial SSU rRNA
Rfam family: Bacterial small subunit ribosomal RNA
Source: RNAcentral